Molecule: unclassified non-coding RNA, 1020 nt
Filed under: Hevea brasiliensis (rubber tree)
Lineage: Eukaryota; Viridiplantae; Streptophyta; Magnoliopsida; Malpighiales; Euphorbiaceae
Source: RNAcentral
GUUUUGAGCUCCUUUUUGAUUCAGAGAUUUCCGCAGCAUCUUCAUCCUCCUUCUCUUCACUUACUCCAGCUCCAAAUUCUCUAUAGAAACGUUCAUGCUCCUCUACAUUAGACUUGUAUUUAGGAGGUGUCAAAUCAAUCAGCCGCUUGACUAACCGAAAUGCAACACUUGCUAGGGGGAGAAGGAUCAAAACCUUAGGGCGAGUAAACCCGCGGUCAAGAAAGGCUUCAUUACUUAGGAUAUCCACCUUCACAUUGUCCUGAAGCUUAGCUAGUUUUGCCUCGUUCUUCUUUACAAGAUCCCUAGUUCUAAAGAUAUGAUUGAGAGAAUGCAUAACAUAAGCAUCCAUGGUACUUGAAUCUUCUUCUAGACCUUUGAGGUAGAAGGGUUUCUUGUUGUGGUGCAGAAUAUCCCGGUAGCUGUUGCAUAUGGAGAAAAAUAGUCUCUGCUUUGAUGAAUCAAAAUCUGCCCCUACAGACUUCUCAUAUAUACUCAACCAAUGCUUGUGUAGUGUUGGCUUCAAGCCAUGAAACAAAAAGCUUUCUGGCUCCUUCAGAAAACACUUGCCUGUCCCCCUCCACUUGUAAUUUGACAUGGCUACCACCCAUUUGUAAGUCCAUUUCUUUUUCUCUAGCUCGUCAACCUCUUCUUUGGAUAACUUGUGAUCCAAAUGAGAGUGAAAUGAACUCGUGCUUGCACAAGCCCCUCUUGUGGGUUGACCAUUUACUCUCAAUUCUUGUUCUCCAUCUGAACCAGAAGCCUCUGAAUCAUCGUCAUCAGUUUCAGUACCUCCAAUCCGUGCCACAGGGUUUCCCAGACCACUUCCAUGUUGACUAGCACCAGGUUCACUAAGUCUAGAAGACUCACUAUCACUGCCUUCAUCGUCAUCAUCGGAAACACCAUGAGCUUGCUCACCAUCAUCUCCACUUUCUUCUGAUUCCGAGUUAUAUUCUUCUUGUUUUGUCCUCAAUGACUCCAACAAACUAUCAUACAUAGUUGGCUCCUUAUAAUCCACAACUU